Molecule: ribosomal RNA, 268 nt
Filed under: uncultured prokaryote
Description: partial 16S ribosomal RNA
Rfam family: Bacterial small subunit ribosomal RNA
Source: RNAcentral
CAGCCGCCGCGGUAAUACGGAGGGGGCUAGCGUUGUUCGGAAUUACUGGGCGUAAAGCGCGCGUAGGCGGCUUUGUAAGUCAGAGGUGAAAGCCUGGAGCUCAACUCCAGAACUGCCUUUGAAACUACAUCGCUUGAAUCAUGGAGAGGUUAGUGGAAUUCCGAGUGUAGAGGUGAAAUUCGUAGAUAUUCGGAAGAACACCAGUGGCGAAGGCGACUAACUGGACAUGUAUUGACGCUGAGGUGCGAAAGCGUGGGGAGCAAACAGG